UUGAACGCUGGCGGCAUGCCUUACACAUGCAAGUCGAACGGUAACAGGUCUUCGGAUGCUGACGAGUGGCGAACGGGUGAGUAAUACAUCGGAACGUGCCCGAUCGUGGGGGAUAACGCAGCGAAAGCUGUGCUAAUACCGCAUACGAUCUACGGAUGAAAGCAGGGGAUCGCAAGACCUUGCGCUUUAGGAGCGGCCGAUGUCGGAUUAGCUAGUUGGUGGGGUAAAGGCUCACCAAGGCGACGAUCCGUAGCGGGUCUGAGAGGAUGAUCCGCCACACUGGGACUGAGACACGGCCCAGACUCCUACGGGAGGCAGCAGUGGGGAAUUUUGGACAAUGGGCGAAAGCCUGAUCCAGCCAUGCCGCGUGAGUGAAGAAGGCCUUCGGGUUGUAAAGCUCUUUCGGCGGGGAAGAAAUCGCAUUCUCUAAUACAGGAUGUGGAUGACGGUACCCGAAUAAGAAGCACUGGCUAACUACGU
RNAcentral lists this ribosomal RNA (480 nucleotides) under uncultured bacterium. Its description in RNAcentral is "bacterial SSU rRNA". It matches the Rfam family "Bacterial small subunit ribosomal RNA", at positions 30 to 506 of the family's 1533-position model. The record is from RNAcentral.